GAAUAUUGGUCAAUGGGGGCAACCCUGAACCAGCCAUGCCGCGUGCAGGAUGACUGCCCUACGGGUUGUAAACUGCUUUUGUCAGGGAAUAAACCUUUCCACGAGUGGGAAGCUGCAUGUACCUGAAGAAUAAGGAUCGGCUAACUCCGUGCCAGCAGCCGCGGUAAUACGGAGGAUCCGAGCGUUAUCCGGAUUUAUUGGGUUUAAAGGGUGCGUAGGCGGCCAUUUAAGUCAGAGGUGAAAUACGGCAGCUCAACUGUCGCAGUGCCUUUGAUACUGAGUGGCUUGAAUUCUGUUGAAGAUGGCGGAAUGAGACAAGUAGCGGUGAAAUGCAUAGAUAUGUCUCAGAACACCGAUUGCGAAGGCAGCUGUCUAAGCAGCGAUUGACGCUGAUGCACGAAAGCGUGGGGAUCGAACAGG
RNAcentral lists this ribosomal RNA (420 nucleotides) under uncultured bacterium. RNAcentral's name for it is "bacterial SSU rRNA". It matches the Rfam family "Bacterial small subunit ribosomal RNA", at positions 359 to 776 of the family's 1533-position model. The record is from RNAcentral.